Ictidomys tridecemlineatus (thirteen-lined ground squirrel) is the source of this 72-nucleotide non-coding RNA. NCBI's taxonomy places the organism in Eukaryota, Metazoa, Chordata, Mammalia, Rodentia, Sciuridae. The record is from Rfam.
GGAGUCGUGGCUCAGUGGUAGAGCGUUUGCCUGGCAUGUGUGAGGCCCUGGGUUCGAUCCUCAGCAACUCAU